This 323-nucleotide ribosomal RNA is filed under the name uncultured eukaryote. RNAcentral describes it as "partial 18S ribosomal RNA". It matches the Rfam family "Eukaryotic small subunit ribosomal RNA", at positions 1470 to 1796 of the family's 1831-position model. The record is from RNAcentral.
CCCUUAGAUGUUCUGGGCCGCACGCGCGCUACACUGAUGCAUUCAACGAGUUUCUUCCUGGUCCGAGAGGAAUGGGUAACCUUUUGAAAGUGCAUCGUGAUAGGGAUAGACUAUUGCAAUUAUUGGUCUUCAACGAGGAAUUCCUAGUAGACGUAGUUCAUCAGACUGCAUCGAUUACGUCCCUGCCCUUUGUACACACCGCCCGUCGCUCCUACCGAUUGAAUGCUCAGGUGAGCCAUUCGGACUGCGCGGUCUGCAGUUUCUGCGUUCCGUGCGGAAAGUUGCGCAAACCUUAACAUUUAGAGGAAGGAGAAGUCGUAACA